Non-coding RNA from Rattus norvegicus (Norway rat), 207 nucleotides. Lineage: Eukaryota; Metazoa; Chordata; Mammalia; Rodentia; Muridae. The record is from Rfam.
GAAUCAGAGGAAUCCAAUGGUUUUAUUAAAAGAGGACACAGUAAAGGCUCAUGGUGAGUGUUGAUGUGAAGUGAUUUCUUCCCAGUGAGCAGAAUGUCAAAGUGAAGAAAUUCAAUGAAGGACAGGAAUAUGGGAAGAACUAUGACUCUCUUAAGAUAGUCUCCUCAUUUAAUCUGUGACACACAUGGUUGAAUGAACAAGAUUCCC